CCUACGGGAGGCAGCAGUGAGGAAUAUUGGUCAAUGGGCGCGAGCCUGAACCAGCCAAGUAGCGUGAAGGAUGACUGCCCUAUGGGUUGUAAACUUCUUUUAUAUGGGAAUAAAACAGGGUAUGGAUACCUUUUUGUAUGUACCUUAUGAAUAAGGAUCGGCUAACUCCGUGCCAGCAGCCGCGGUAAUACGGAGGAUCCGAGCGUUAUCCGGAUUUAGUGGGUUUAAAGGGAGAGUAGGUGGAUUGUUAAGUCAGUUGUGAAAGUUUGCGGCUCAACCGUAAAAUUGCAAUUGAAACUGGCAGUCUUGAGUACAGUAGAGGUAGGCGGAAUUCGUGGUGUAGCGGUGAAAUGCUUAGAUAUCACGAAGAACUCCGAUUGCGAAGGCAGCUCACUAAACUGCAACUGACACUGAUGCUCGAAAGUGUGGGUAUCAAACAGGAUUAGAUACCCGAGUAGUC
This 460-nucleotide ribosomal RNA is filed under the name uncultured bacterium. RNAcentral's name for it is "partial 16S ribosomal RNA". It matches the Rfam family "Bacterial small subunit ribosomal RNA", at positions 338 to 795 of the family's 1533-position model. The record is from RNAcentral.